GCGAAGGUGGCGGAAUUGGUAGACGCGCUAGCUUCAGGUGUUAGUGUCCUUACGGACGUGGGGGUUCAAGUCC
RNAcentral lists this transfer RNA (73 nucleotides) under Escherichia sp. E2586. RNAcentral's name for it is "tRNA-Leu". It matches the Rfam family "tRNA", at positions 1 to 60 of the family's 71-position model. From Rfam's summary of the family: Transfer RNA (tRNA) molecules are approximately 80 nucleotides in length. Lineage: Bacteria; Pseudomonadati; Pseudomonadota; Gammaproteobacteria; Enterobacterales; Enterobacteriaceae. The record is from RNAcentral.